RNAcentral lists this non-coding RNA (55 nucleotides) under Karlodinium veneficum. Lineage: Eukaryota; Dinophyceae; Gymnodiniales; Kareniaceae. The record is from RNAcentral.
CACGUUCGGCCUAGGGGGUGUCUUGUUCGGUGGCGACGACACGACAACUUCAAAG